Long non-coding RNA from Cyanistes caeruleus (blue tit), 1280 nucleotides. RefSeq lists it as uncharacterized. The record is from RefSeq and is a predicted model, not a curated record. NCBI's taxonomy places the organism in Eukaryota, Metazoa, Chordata, Aves, Passeriformes, Paridae.
GAAACACCUCACAGCCUCCCUAUCCUCUGGAGCUAAAAUCUGGCCCGAAGAGAUUGGAACUCAGUCCAGUGGAAACAGGAAUGUCUUGGUUGAGUCACUGGGAUGGGUCCUCAGGGUUACUCACAAAGAUUUUUGUGCUUCUACAUCCAUGGCCCAGCAAAUUCUGUGGCUGCUGUUUCUAUGAACAAGCAACUGGCUGGAUGGAAUCAGAGCCUCUAAGAAGUUCCUGGUCAACAGAGAAGCUGCAGCAUGAGGUCCAAGAUUUGAAAAUAAAAGCUCAACAGGGAAAAAGAGUGAGCUUCACCCUCCCCCUCGUAACAAAUGAAAGUCGUGUAUUGUUGGAAGCGGAUGGUGUCAGGACUAAAAUACUCUGCUGGGGACCUCUUGGCUCCAUUCAGUCUCCUGCUGUGAUCAGUUCUGUUUAGGAUAUUCCCAGCCUGUGGGUCUAGAAUUAGGAAACCAAGAUCCAGAGAGGUUCAGUGGAAGUUCUAGAAGGUUAUUCAGUGUCCUGUCUUUAGGAGCUGAAGUGUUGGAGAAGGACCACAACCUCUCAGUGUUGACUUGCCCAAAUGAGACAUUUCUCACAUUGUUGUUUUUGCCUCUGAACUGGAACCCUAAAAUAACAAAUAGUCAGCGGGGAUGAUCCAGUGAUUCAACCAUCAGCAUCCACAGUAGUCACCCAAGGCAGCUGCUCCCUUUAGCAUCCAUAAAAAUACCAACCACUCCACAGGACAGCUUGGAAGCCAAGGAAAUAAUCUCUUUAUUGAAAUUAAGUUGCCAUAUGAGCCUUAAUUCCAAUGAGCUCCUCGGCUCCUCAUAUGCACCAAGCAAACUCCGUUAUUCCCUGCCUUCCCAAAUCGGGGUCAAUUCUUCAAGGCAGGGAUCUCAUCUCUCAUUGUGCCCAUGUGCAGCAUCAGAAGAACAUUUGUGUCAGAGCUGGGCCAAGGCAGUCCCUGGUGUCAGUGACAGAGAACAAUCAGCUCUUAUCACAUUACAGGAAACUAAAGCAGAAAACUCAGCUCAAGCUGAGGCUGAGAUUUUCCUGCCCAGACAAAGUACCUGGGUUUAAUGGCACAGAGCAGGGAAGAGUUCAGCAUACAUCAUGCCAUCAGGAAAAGCUUCACUCUGCUCCUCUGCUGCUUGUCCCUGUGUCAGAGAGGGAUUGAAUUAAGCCAUGGAGGAAGGUGGAUCUGCUCUGCAGUGCAAAGAGCCAAAAAUCAGGUAAUAACAGUAACUCCCAGUCCUGAAUCUUUUCAGAAAAGCAUUUACAAGCAGCUUUC